Molecule: transfer RNA, 71 nt
Filed under: Marmota monax (woodchuck)
Lineage: Eukaryota; Metazoa; Chordata; Mammalia; Rodentia; Sciuridae
Description: tRNA.Ala
Source: RNAcentral
GGGGUUGUGGCUCAGUGAUGGAGCACUCGUCUAGCACGUGCGGGGCCCUGGGUUCGAUCCUCAGCACCACA